RNAcentral lists this unclassified non-coding RNA (77 nucleotides) under Martinezella hainanensis. Its description in RNAcentral is "Rhizobium hainanense suhB". Lineage: Bacteria; Pseudomonadati; Pseudomonadota; Alphaproteobacteria; Hyphomicrobiales; Rhizobiaceae. The record is from RNAcentral.
ACCCAGCGGUUCUGAGCCGUCUCAUCGAUGCAGCAAACUUGGGCGGUGCUUCGGCAUCGCCCUCUUUUUUUUGCCCU